AAAUCACAAUGCGGAACAAUGUUUUGCAAUUGGAUUGAGAACAACGUACAAACCUUAUCGAUAAACAAUUGGAGGGCAAGUCUGGUGCCAGCAGCCGCGGUAAUUCCAGCUCCAAUAGCGUAUAUUAACGUUGUUGCAGUUAAAAAGCUCGUAGUUGAAAUGAAGGGUAGUUGUGUAAUGAAUACAUUCGUGUAUUUUGUUAUUCUACUACCCUCCUUCUAAAUUCGAUAUAUGAGUAUUAAUUUACUUGUAUAUGGUUUUAGACGUUUACUGUGAGAAAAUUAGAGUGUUCAAAGCAGGCAUUUGCUUGAAUAUAUUAGCAUGGAAUAAUCAUGUAUGAUUUUCAUGAUGUAUUUGAUUGGUUUGGUUCAUGAGAAUAAGAUUAAAAGGGACAGUUGGGGGUAUUCAUAUUCAAUAGUCAGAGGUGAAAUUCUCGGAUUUAUGGAAGAUGA
This 452-nucleotide ribosomal RNA is filed under the name Blastocystis sp. Its description in RNAcentral is "SSU rRNA". It matches the Rfam family "Eukaryotic small subunit ribosomal RNA", at positions 475 to 938 of the family's 1831-position model. Lineage: Eukaryota; Bigyra; Opalinata; Blastocystidae. The record is from RNAcentral.